UACGUAGGGACCAAGCGUUGUUCGGAUUUACUGGGCGUAAAGGGCGCGUAGGCGGCAAUUCAAGUCAGCUGUGAAAUCUCCGGGCUUAACUCGGAACGGUCAGCUGAUACUGCUUUGCUAGAGUGCAGAAGGGGCAAUCGGAAUUCUUGGUGUAGCGGUGAAAUGCGUAGAUAUCAAGGGGAACACCUGAGGUGAAGACGGGUUGCUGGGCUGACACUGACGCUGAGGCGCGAAAGCUAGGGUAGCAAACGGG
This 253-nucleotide ribosomal RNA is filed under the name uncultured bacterium. Its description in RNAcentral is "partial 16S ribosomal RNA". It matches the Rfam family "Bacterial small subunit ribosomal RNA", at positions 524 to 776 of the family's 1533-position model. The record is from RNAcentral.